UUGCACCUGAUGGCGAGUGCGAACGGUGAGUAAUGCAUCGGAACGUGCCCAAUCGUGGGGAUAACGCAGCGAAAGCUGUGCUAAUACCGCAUACGAUCUACGGAUGAAAGGCGGGGGAUCGUUCGGGCCUCGCGCGAUUGGAGCGGCCGAUGUUAGAUUAGGUAGUUGGUGGGGUAAAAGGCUCACCAAGCCGACGAUCUAUAGCUGGUCUGAGAGGACGACCAGCCACACUGGAACUGAGACACGGUCCAGACUCC
RNAcentral lists this ribosomal RNA (257 nucleotides) under unidentified marine bacterioplankton. RNAcentral's name for it is "partial 16S ribosomal RNA". It matches the Rfam family "Bacterial small subunit ribosomal RNA", at positions 105 to 339 of the family's 1533-position model. The record is from RNAcentral.